GACGAACGCUGGCGGCGUGCUUAACACAUGCAAGUCGAGCGGAAAGGCCCUUCGGGGUACUCGAGCGGCGAACGGGUGAGUAACACGUGAGUAACCUGCCCCAGACUUUGGGAUAACCCUCGGAAACGGGGGCUAAUACCGGAUACGACACAGCUUCGCAUGGGGUCUGUGUGGAAAGUUUUUCGGUUUGGGAUGGGCUCGCGGCCUAUCAGCUUGUUGGUGGGGUGAUGGCCUACCAAGGCGACGACGGGUAGCCGGCCUGAGAGGGCGACCGGCCACACUGGGACUGAGACACGGCCCAGACUCCUACGGGAGGCAGCAGUGGGGAAUAUUGCACAAGGGGCGGAAGCCUGAUGCAGCGACGCCGCGUGAGGGAUGACGGCCUUCGGGUUGUAAACCUCUUUCAGCAGGGACGAAGCGUAAGGGACGGUACCUGCAGAAGAAGCGCCGGCCAACUACGU
Molecule: ribosomal RNA, 461 nt
Filed under: uncultured bacterium
Lineage: Bacteria
Description: partial 16S ribosomal RNA
Rfam family: Bacterial small subunit ribosomal RNA
Source: RNAcentral